RNAcentral lists this unclassified non-coding RNA (146 nucleotides) under soil metagenome. RNAcentral's name for it is "partial internal transcribed spacer 1". The record is from RNAcentral.
CCGAGUUUACAACUCCCAACCCCUAUGAACAUACCACUUGUUGCCUCGGCGGAUCAGCCCGCUCCCGGUAAAACGGGACGGCCCGCCAGAGGACCCCUAAACUCUGUUUCUAUAUGUAACUUCUGAGUAAAACCAUAAAUAAAUCA